AAUAAGUGCAGUUUUGCAUUAUUCACGUUCAACGUUUAACCGUUCGUUUUAUUUGAAAAUUUAUUAUGAUUAGUAUUUUUAUUGCUAUUAGAUGAUAAAACAUGAAUAGUACUUUAUGUGUGACUAAAUAUUUUCAAAUUUUUCAAAUAAGACGGACGGUCAAACGUUGGGUACGGAUAUCCACGGCUGCACUUAUU
Molecule: non-coding RNA, 197 nt
Organism: Oryza glaberrima (African rice)
Lineage: Eukaryota; Viridiplantae; Streptophyta; Magnoliopsida; Poales; Poaceae
Source: Rfam